AGCGGGGGCAGUGCUGUGCGUGCGUUCGGUUUACAGAGGAGCCGUGGCCCCUCGCAGGAGCGGCUCGCUUGCUCUACUUCUGCGCAGGGUUCUCCUGCCGGCCAGUGGAGCCUUGGAACGUCAAAGCAUGAGACCCUCCACCACCAAGAGCUUGAAUGAGGAUACAAAAGUCAUUUUACGUCUCUUUGCCUUUUCUGUGUUUCACAGAGAAAAUGACAAUGGCAGAUUCAAGAACGAGGAUGUCUGAGCCAGGAAUGAAAAGGCAGAUGACAUACCUUUGGAUAUGCAAAGCUCGGUCUCCAACCUUGUCCCUAAACUGAGUGUGGAAUUGGAUCUACCCUAUAACUG
Molecule: long non-coding RNA, 348 nt
Filed under: Equus caballus (horse)
Lineage: Eukaryota; Metazoa; Chordata; Mammalia; Perissodactyla; Equidae
Description: lncRNA (ENSECAG00000056938.1)
Source: RNAcentral